GCGAGAGCCCGAGCCGCGGGCGGGCGGGCGGCGAAGAUGGCAGAGGCACCGGCCUCCCCGGCCCCGCUCUCUCCGCUCGAAGUGGAGCUGGACCCGGAGUUCGAGCCCCAGAGCCGGCCGCGCUCCUGUACGUGGCCCCUGCAGAGGCCAGAGCUCCAGGGGAGCCCGGCCAAGCCCUCGGGGGAGACGGCCGCCGAUUCCAUGAUCCCCGAAGAGGAGGACGAUGAAGACGACGAGGACGGUAGCGGUAGGGCCAGCUCGGCCAUGGCGAUCGGCGGCGGCGGGAGCGGCACGCUGGGCUCCGGGCUGCUCCUUGAAGACUCGGCCCGGCUGCUGGCUCCUGGAGGGCAGGACUCCGGGUCCGGGCCAGCCCUCGCGGCGGGCGCGCUGAGCGGGGGGACGCAGACGCCGCUGCCGCCUCAGCAGCCACUGCCACCGCCGCAGCCGGGGGCGGCUGGGGGCUCCGGGCAGCCGAGGAAAUGCUCGUCGCGGCGGAACGCCUGGGGAAACCUGUCCUACGCCGACCUGAUCACUCGCGCCAUCGAGAGCUCCCCGGACAAACGGCUCACUCUGUCCCAGAUCUACGAGUGGAUGGUGCGCUGCGUGCCCUACUUCAAGGAUAAGGGCGAUAGCAACAGCUCGGCCGGGUGGAAGAACUCUAUUCGGCACAACCUGUCACUGCACAGCCGUUUCAUGCGGGUCCAGAAUGAGGGGACUGGCAAGAGCUCUUGGUGGAUCAUCAACCCUGAUGGGGGGAAGAGCGGGAAGGCACCCCGGCGGCGGGCUGUCUCCAUGGACAACAGCAACAAGUAUACCAAGAGUCGUGGCCGUGCAGCCAAGAAGAAGGCAGCCCUGCAGACAGCCCCCGAGUCAGCAGAUGACAGUCCCUCCCAGCUCUCCAAGUGGCCUGGCAGCCCCACGUCACGCAGCAGUGACGAGCUGGAUGCGUGGACCGACUUCCGCUCACGCACCAAUUCCAAUGCCAGCACGGUCAGUGGCCGCCUGUCACCCAUCUUGGCAAGCACGGAGUUGGAUGACGUCCAGGAUGAUGAUGCACCGCUCUCCCCCAUGCUCUACAGCAGCUCAGCUAGCCUGUCACCCUCUGUAAGUAAGCCAUGCACCGUGGAACUACCACGGCUGACUGACAUGGCGGGCACCAUGAAUCUGAAUGAUGGGCUCUCUGACAACCUCAUGGAUGACCUGCUGGAUAACAUCACACUCCCAUCGUCCCAGCCAUCGCCCACCGGAGGGCUCAUGCAGCGGAGCUCUAGCUUCCCAUACACCGCCAAGGGCUCCGGCCUGGGCUCUCCAACCAGCUCCUUCAAUAGCACGGUGUUUGGACCCUCGUCUCUGAAUUCCCUGCGCCAGUCUCCCAUGCAGACCAUCCAAGAGAACAAGCCAGCUACCUUCUCUUCCAUGUCACACUAUGGCAACCAGACACUCCAGGACCUGCUCACUUCAGACUCACUCAGCCACAGCGAUGUCAUGAUGACCCAGUCAGACCCCUUGAUGUCUCAGGCCAGCACCGCUGUGUCUGCCCAGAACUCCCGCCGGAACGUGAUGCUUCGAAAUGACCCAAUGAUGUCCUUUGCUGCCCAGCCUAACCAGGGGAGUUUGGUCAAUCAGAACUUGCUCCACCACCAGCACCAAACCCAGGGCGCUCUCGGUGGCAGCCGUGCCUUGUCGAAUUCUGUCAGCAACAUGGGCUUGAGCGACUCCAGCAGCCUUGGGUCAGUCAAACACCAGCAACAAUCUCCUGUCAGCCAGUCUAUGCAAACCCUCUCGGACUCUCUCUCAGGCUCCUCCUUGUACUCAGCUAGUGCAAACCUUCCCGUCGUGGGCCACGAGAAGUUCCCCAGCGACUUGGACCUGGACAUGUUCAAUGGGAGCUUGGAGUGCGACAUGGAGUCCAUUAUCCGUAGUGAACUCAUGGAUGCCGAUGGGUUGGAUUUUAAUUUUGAUUCCCUCAUCUCCACACAGAAUGUUGUUGGUUUGAACGUGGGGAACUUCACUGGUGCUAAGCAGGCCUCAUCUCAGAGCUGGGUGCCAGGCUGAAGGAUCACUGAGGAAAGGGGAAGUGGGCAAAGCAGCAUGAAAGGUCCAUGUCCCAGGACAUCUCUCAAUCUGAAGUCGAGAGCAAAACCCCAUCUGUACCCUGGACUUACCUAUCUUAAAAAGGCCUAUUGAAACACCACCUUUCUUUGUUAACCUCCCGAAAUGGAUGACCUCGUUUCCUCUAGGCUUUUUCAACUUGAGAGCAUCUUGUAAUGAAGCCCAGAAGUGAGACCCUCAAACUGACACAAGACCUACAGAGAAAACCCUUUGCCAAAUCUGCUCUCAGCAAGUGGACAGUGAUACCGUUUACAGCUUAACACCUUUGUGAAUCCCGCACCAUUUUCCUAACCCAGCAGAGACUGUUAAUGGCCCCUUACCCCGGGUGAAGCACUUACUCUUGGAACAGAACUCUCUAUAUAUAAAGUAUGCAAAAUCUUCCUUGUACGGGGUGAUGAGCCACCUGCCAGCAAAGGACAGCAUCCUGUCAGCACCACCCACCCUCGUUCAGAGCACACCGUGAGCUCCUGUUGGCAAUUCUGUGGUGUAUUCAUAUCACGAUGGUUUAUGGGAUGUUUUAAGUGUUGUUUUUGUGUUUGUUUUCCUUUGACUUUCUGAGUUUUUCACAUGCAUUAACUUGCAGUAUUUUUAUGUUAAAAUGUUAAUCAUCCUUCCCCUGGCAAAUUUAAAACCAGAAGGAAAAUGUUGUACCAAUUACUGUUCUGGCUUUGGUCAUCACAAGCAUUUGAACCCUUGGAACUCCAUAAACUAACAAAUUACGUAAACCAGAGGGGGAUUUUCUUUCUUCUUUUGUUUGGUAGAAAACUAUCCUUUUCUAAAAACCAAACGAUGGCACAACUGUUUGCUGUGCACACCAGUUCAGGACUGAAUCCUGCACAGGCAAAACAAGUGGAGUGUGGCACUCGACCCAGUGUGUUUUAGUUCUGAGGUGCUCAGGGGGUGAGACCCCCAGUACCUAGUCUACAGUUGCCAGGUCAGUGGGUCUCUUGGUCUCCUGGCAUGAUCCUCAGCUAAUGCAGUGAACAGUGAUGGUAUGUGGGUUAGAAAUUAGGAUGUUUUCAAGAAUGAAAUCAGCUCAGCUGCCCACUCGUUGCCAAAUACCACUAGAGGAUUUAGUUUUAAGGAGAAAAGGAAAAAAAAAAAGUAGUCCUGGUUUGCUUUGCAGAAGAAAUGAACUCACAGCAAAGAUUGCAUGAAAAGUACAAACCGGAGUCACUAUUUUCCUAAAAUACACACCCUUGAAUAUUUUCAGCCUUGCUGUGUAUAAUCUGAUCUACUAGACGUGUAUGAGUGAGAGGCAAUAGCAUACAAACUGAUUUAUAUAUAUAUACGUGCGUAUAUAUAUAUAUACAUAUAUAUAUAUAUACAUACACACACACGCGUGCACAUAUAUAUAUAAAAGCUUAGACUGUAAUUGUACAAGUGACACAAUGAAAGUACAAGAUAGGGCGGUUUUGACUUUAUUUUUCCCCACUUUUCUGCUUCUAUGGAUUUCAUUUUGUUUUGUUUUCAAAAAGUUAUGGUGCUGUAUAGGUGCUUUCUGUUUAACCUGGAAAGUGUGAUGAUAUUAGUUACCCUCUUUGGUAGACAGAAUAGUUGGGAACACCUUUGGUACAUAUGAAACUGUGUAAUGAAGCUCUGAUUAGCACAGCAUAUGCAUACUUCUCCAAAGUGAUAUAUGAAGACUCUUUUCUUUGCAUAAAAGCAUUAGGCAUAUAAAUGUAUAAAUAAAUUUUAUCAUGUACAGUACAAAAAUGGAACAUUCUGCAUGGACGUUAGGAAUACAGGCUAGUAUUUCAGCACAGACCUCCCUGCAUGAGUUCUCGCUGACACUUGCACUGUGCAGUGGGCACCGACUCCCUUCCACCAACACAGACGUGCCACCCCACCCCCUGCACCUACCACCGGCCGCCAGGGGCCCCUUUGUGCACCUUUGCUUUAUGAUUCCUCUGGGGGUGAUAUUGGUGGUGAUAACAGCUCCUAGCAUAAUGAAAGUUCCAUUUGACGUAUUGUCACACGUCUUUCCCGCCUCGCGUGGGUUGUCAUGUUUGAGUGAUGGCCCUGUUGAUUUCACCCUGCCUUUUACUGAAUCUGUAAAUUGUCGUGCAAUUGUGGUUAUAGUAGACUUGUAGCAAUAUUGCCUUUUCUAAACUGCUACACGUUUGUAAUCUUCAUUUUAAAAGUAUGUAUAAUUUUUAAAAAUAUGUAUUCUAUUCACGUGGUCUGCUUGUCAGUGAGACAGACUUUUGCUUACUGUAUUCCUUUAUAAUAAUGCUAGCCGCUUCCUUGAUUCCUUGGUAGUCUACUAUAUGCAGGAACUGUUGAGCAUCCGUGAAAGAAGGCUACCUCUCUGGGUUUCUAAGAAAUGCUGCCCUGGGUGGGGAUACAGUUUAGAGGCAGCCACAGCAGCUGUGGGGACCGAAGGGUAUAGGGGUAUCAGGUACUAGGAAAAUCCAGAGGGCUUACAGGAGUAGAGCCCAGAGAAUUUCUCUCCUGAACUCAAAUUAAAAAAAAAAGUAAACUAACAAAAAUAUCUAUUUGCCUUUGCAGUUUUAUAGACCCUGAUUGCCACCUUGGCAGUAAGAAGAGCAACCCUCAAAUAUGUUUCAACUUUAAAAUGUUGAAUUCCUUUCAGACAUGUGGCAUCUCAUUUAUUCUCCUUUUUUCUCAAUGUUUGUUAGAUUUUAGGCAGAAUGUCUGACAGAAUGUCCUAGAGCCAGAUUAUAAUUUAAUCUAAAACAGCUGAGGGAGGGACAGGAGGUAUGAGAACAGGGCUGCCACAGAACACGUCAAGAAUAUGGAGGGGAAGGGGUGCUUUGAAUUUGUGUGUUUUUUUGUUUGUUUUUUAAUGCAAACAGCAUCUACGUGUCGAGCAUUGUGGAGAGUUGAGAUCAGGACAAAGUCCAGUGCCAGCAUGAGUUCCAGGUGGGAGUCAGGCAAGAGCGGAACAGUUAGGCCUAUCCAGGAUCACAGCAGCACUUUUAGCCAUGGCCACUGCCAGCUGGCCCUCCACCUGGAGGCCAGGCUCCCUGAGACUCGCUGGGUUCUUAGGUGGUCAGACGGGGCAGAGGUGCGACCUGACCUCCAUUUCUUAUACUGAGACUGCUUUCAGGAAGGCCCACCAUGUGGCGUUCUGGGUGUCAUGGGUCCUUCUCAGUAAGCUUUCUGAUCUGGAGCCUCUCAGUGGAAUACUUAGUAGGCUCCGGGGGCCCGGCAGCUGUAAUGUUUGCAUCCUGAUGAGAACUAUUCCAGGCUGUCCUCAGCCUCUAAAUAAGCUGCUCUAGGGAGCCUUCCACUUUCUGAUGGGAAAUUAGAAGAGUAACUAAUGUUGAAAACAUGACAUGUACUCUGGGGUUCUGUUCUCCCUUCAGGUCUCCAGAACCAGAUACCUUUUACCAAAGUCAGAAAAGAGCUUUAUCGUAAGCCUUCACUGUCCUGGUGUGAGAACAGACUGCCAGGUUCAGCGUACCCAUUAACUGUGAAUGAAUCUGAGGUCGAUUUCCUUUAUUGCAUCCUCUUCAAUAUAAUGAUUGCUGAAACACGUGUUUUCUAAAAAUUUCACAAGUUUGUCUUUCCUGUUAACGGGAGGAUUACACACACAUGUGUAGUACGAGGUGGACUUUGUGUGUGUGUGUGUGUGUUUGGUAUUGAGUUUGGGUAUUGUGUGCGUGUGUCACUUCACCACCCUGAGGUCAGAUCCUCAUGACUCCUAGCUCAGGACAGCUCUGCCAGGUCUCAGGGUAUCAUUUCAGGUGGCUUCUGAUCUUGUUAAAGAUGGUAGGGACAGACUUCAUCUAUACCCAGUGGACCCCGCCUGAAGAAGAAGGAACAUUUGAAUCUCUUGGAAAGACCUUCAAGAGUAAAGCGGUCAUUCAGCCAGUCCUAUUUUGCGUGCUCAUGCCAUGGGCUGGCAAAGGGAAAUACAAAUGUUACCCUUUCUCUCUGAAAGCAGAAGCAAACCCUGAUAGCUCUAACUCUGAUUUCCUUUUUCUUGCUGUAGUUGGGGAACAUUGUAAGACUAGGCAUACCAUUGUAUUUUUUAAUUUAGCAAAGUUUUUUUGUAGAAAUGCAAUCACUGGCAAAGAGGUACGAAAAAGCCAGCCUCUCCUAAAGACUGGGGGCAGCAGGCACGAUGAGGGUAAAGCGAAGCCCUUGUGAAAUCAUGUCUGCCAAACAAGAUCUUCAUGCAGAUGCCCAAGUAACUGAAGAGUAUAUUCUAUCUGAUCUAAAUCAUCAGUAGAUAACAUUUUAUGCAGUUUAAAUGAAUGAACUAUUUUCCUCUUUAGUUUUAUUUGUGUGCGCUUUUCUUUGAUGAAUGAUUGGUUCUGAGGCCUCUGCCACACUCCAGAAUUACUUGUGUGGCUGCUUUAAAAAAUUGAAUGUCUGGUCACUUAUUUCUCUAAAAUUAUCUCAUUGCCUGGCAAUCAGUCUUCUCUCGUAUACUUGUCCUAGCACAUUACAUACAUGGGAAAUGUAAACAGAUGUGAAGGAGGACCAGAAAAAUGAGUUAAUACUAAAAAAAAAAAAAAAUGUAUUGUGCGUUUUGGCUUCACAUGUUUAACUUUUUUAAGAAAAAAAAGUUGCAUGAAUGGAAAAAAAAUCUGUAUACAGUAUCUGUAAAAUUGUCUUACCUGUUUCAAUUUCUUGCUCAUUCCCCAUUCAGACUAGAAUUAAAUAUGGUGCAUGGCCAUAUUCAAACACCUAAGAGUCAAGCAGCUGAUACUUUGGUUUGAAGCACCUCAUUCUUUCUUUCCAAGCGAACACUAUCAUAUUGCAUUCUUACUGAGGAUUUUGUCUAACCAUAUGUUGCCAUGAGUUAACUCUACCACCUUUCUUCCCAAAAAUCAAAACCAGUUUGAUUUGGGAAUCUCCCCUUUCCAAAUGAAAUAGAGAUGCAGUACUUAACUUUCCUCGGUGUUUGUAGAUAUUGCCUUGUGUAUUCCAUUUACAGCCGUAAUCUAGUUUGUAAACGAGAUGGUGACGCAUGUAAAUAAAGCAUCAGUGACACUC
Prionailurus viverrinus (fishing cat) is the source of this 7083-nucleotide RNA transcript. It is a transcript of the gene named forkhead box O3, with no coding region annotated. Lineage: Eukaryota; Metazoa; Chordata; Mammalia; Carnivora; Felidae. The record is from RefSeq and is a predicted model, not a curated record. The transcript is spliced from 4 exons.